GAUGAAGAACGCAGCGAAAUGCGAUAAGUAGUGUGAAUUGCAGAAUUCAGUGAAUCAUCGAAUCUUUGAACGCACAUUGCGCCCCUUGGUAUCCCGAGGGGCAUGCCUGUUCGAGCGUCAUUUCACCACUCAAGCCUGGCUUGGUGUUGGGCGACGUCCCCUUUGGAGACGCGCCUCGAAACGCUCGGCGGCGUGGCACCGGCUUUAAGCGUAGCAGAAUCUUUCGCUUUGGAAGUCGGGGCCCCGUCUGCCGGAAGACCUACUCGCAAGGUUGACCUCGGAUCAGGCAGGGAUACCCGCUGAACUUAAGCAUAUCAAUAAGCGGAGG
RNAcentral lists this unclassified non-coding RNA (328 nucleotides) under soil metagenome. RNAcentral describes it as "partial contains 5.8S ribosomal RNA, internal transcribed spacer 2, and large subunit ribosomal RNA". The stretch from base 1 to 120 matches the Rfam family "5.8S ribosomal RNA", at positions 35 to 154 of the family's 154-position model. The record is from RNAcentral.